This 524-nucleotide ribosomal RNA is filed under the name uncultured bacterium. Its description in RNAcentral is "partial 16S ribosomal RNA". It matches the Rfam family "Bacterial small subunit ribosomal RNA", at positions 28 to 523 of the family's 1533-position model. The record is from RNAcentral.
GACGAACGCUGGCGGCGUGCCUAAUACAUGCAAGUCGAGCGCUUCUUUUCCCACCGGAGCUUGCUCCACCGGGAAAAGAGGAGUGGCGAACGGGUGAGUAACACGUGGGUAACCUGCCCAUCAGAAGGGGAUAACACUUGGAAACAGGUGCUAAUACCGUAUAACAAUCGAAACCGCAUGGUUUCGUUUUGAAAGGCGCUUUACGGUGCCGCUGAUGGAUGGACCCGCGGUGCAUUAGCUAGUUGGUGAGGUAACGGCUCACCAAGGCCACGAUGCAUAGCCGACCUGAGAGGGUGAUCGGCCACAUUGGGACUGAGACACGGCCCAAACUCCUACGGGAGGCAGCAGUAGGGAAUCUUCGGCAAUGGACGAAAGUCUGACCGAGCAACGCCGCGUGAGUGAAGAAGGUUUUCGGAUCGUAAAACUCUGUUGUUAGAGAAGAACAAGGGUGAGAGUAACUGUUCACCCCUUGACGGUAUCUAACCAGAAAGCCACGGCUAACUACGUGCCAGCCGCCGCGGUAA